Cotesia glomerata is the source of this 583-nucleotide long non-coding RNA. RefSeq lists it as uncharacterized. Lineage: Eukaryota; Metazoa; Arthropoda; Insecta; Hymenoptera; Braconidae. The transcript is spliced from 2 exons. The record is from RefSeq and is a predicted model, not a curated record.
GAAUAACUUCAAUGGAACAACGCUAGAGGGCGGGAGUUUUAAAAUCCUGAGUUUCUAUUGGUCGAAGAUAGUACACCGUUCCUCCGCAAGGCGGCUUGGAACCGAAAUUUAAGCGGCUUUGAAUUCUUAUACAAGAAAGAUGAUUAAUAACUCACGCCAAUUGCUAAGUUAAUUAUCUAACACUAUUAAAACAAUAAAAGGUUUUAAAUUUUCUUAUUAACUUUAAUAUUCAUUAGAAGCAAUCUCUUCAGAUGAUCAUGCUUGUAAAGCUGAUAAAAUUCUAAAUAUCCAAUUAAUCAACUAAAUUCCUUUUAAAUUAGCUAUUGAAUGCCUUGCAGUGGAACUUAAUUGAAAAUCGUUAAUUAAAUUUUCUUGUUCGAUAUAAAAAGAACUUUUUAUUGAAGAGAAUACGGAAUUCAAGAAAACCCAUGAAAAGUCACAUUAACAAAAAAGUUUUUUCUGACUAUACUACAAUAAAAAGACAAGCCAGCAGGCGGGAUGUCAUCCCAACAAUAUAGUAAAUCGAGGAUUAAAAAAGUGUGAAACUACUUUAUAAUAGAAAUAUAAAGUAUAUAUAUAUAUA